RNAcentral lists this ribosomal RNA (466 nucleotides) under uncultured bacterium. RNAcentral describes it as "partial 16S ribosomal RNA". It matches the Rfam family "Bacterial small subunit ribosomal RNA", at positions 339 to 795 of the family's 1533-position model. The record is from RNAcentral.
CUACGGGUUGCUGCAGUGAGGAAUUUUGCGCAAUGGGGGAAACCCUGACGCAGCAACGCCGCGUGAGUGAUGAAGGCCUUCGGGUCGUAAAACUCUGUCAAGUGGGAAGAACCUAUGUAAGGUUAAUACCCUUGUGUACUGACGGUACCACUGAAGGAAGCACCGGCUAACUCCGUGGCCAGCAGCCGCGGUAAUACGGAGGGUGCAAGCGUUAUUCGGAAUUAUUGGGCGUAAAGGGCGCGCAGGCGGGUUUGUAAGUCAGAGGUGAAAGCCCGGGGCUUAACCUCGGAAGUGCAUUUGAUACUGCAAGACUUGAGUAUGGGAGGGGGAAGUGGAAUUCCUGGUGUAGAGGUGAAAUUCGUAGAUAUCAGGAGGAACACCAGUGGCGAAGGCGACUUCCUGGACCAAUACUGACGCUGAGGCGCGAAGGCGUGGGGAGCAAACAGGAUUAGAUACCCCAGUAGUC